This 253-nucleotide ribosomal RNA is filed under the name uncultured bacterium. Its description in RNAcentral is "partial 16S ribosomal RNA". It matches the Rfam family "Bacterial small subunit ribosomal RNA", at positions 524 to 776 of the family's 1533-position model. The record is from RNAcentral.
UACGAAGUGGGCUAGCGUUGCUCGGAAUCACUGGGCGUAAAGCGCACGUAGGCGGCUCGUUCAGUCCGGGGUGAAAUCCUGGAGCUCAACUCCAGAACUGCCUUUGAUACUGGCGACCUUGAGUUCGGGAGAGGUGAGUGGAACUGCGAGUGUAGAGGUGAAACUCGUAGAUAUUCGCAAGAACACCAGUGGCGAAGGCGGCUCACUGGCCCGAUACUGACGCUGAGGUGCGAAAGCGUGGGGAGCAAACAGG